UUCCUCCCUGACCUCCUGGUUUCUGUGCCCACAGCCACCUCCCCGUCCAGUCUGUGAGCACUCUGAGGGCGGUUAUAGUGCUGUGUGUGCAUUUGGCGCAUAAAAGAACAAUACGUGUGCAUGAGUGAAGCCUCUGGGGCAACAGAGGCCUCAGCCAGACCAUCUCCACCUGGUGGGAAAGGCAGCCUCCACUAUUAAAGAUCACAACCUGAAAGAAGAACCCAGUCCCUCUUCAUGUUCCUACAGCAAGAUGGGCUACACGUCCAUUUGACCAGUCACUCUGGACAGGAGAUGGGGCACCGUUAUUGUCCGAACCUUGACUACAGGGUCCAGUCCCACAGUCUUUUCAAGGUGUAAAUCCCUGCAGAAGGUUGCCAGAAUCCAGUCGACACCCCUGCUCGCUUCCACCCCCUGCCAACUCUUCGCCAUUUCGAAUCUCAUGGCAGGUAACCAUUAAUACUGUUUUCCUUUUGGCUGCCCAUUACGAUGGUAAAGGAAAAAUGCCGUUUCAGACG
This 515-nucleotide long non-coding RNA is filed under the name Ursus maritimus (polar bear). Its description in RNAcentral is "lncRNA (ENSUMAG00000021731.1)". The record is from RNAcentral. Lineage: Eukaryota; Metazoa; Chordata; Mammalia; Carnivora; Ursidae.